This 392-nucleotide ribosomal RNA is filed under the name uncultured bacterium. Its description in RNAcentral is "bacterial SSU rRNA". It matches the Rfam family "Bacterial small subunit ribosomal RNA", at positions 28 to 419 of the family's 1533-position model. The record is from RNAcentral.
GAUGAACGCUAGCGGCAGGCUUAACACAUGCAAGUCGAGGGGUAUAGGGAGCUUGCUUCCUAGAGACCGGCGCACGGGUGCGUAACGCGUAUGCAAUCUACCUUUUGCAGAGGGAUAGCCCAGAGAAAUUUGGAUUAAUACCUCAUAGUAUGUGAGAAUGGCAUCAUUUUCACAUUAAAGUCACAACGGCAAAAGAUGAGCAUGCGUCCCAUUAGCUUGUUGGUAAGGUAACGGCUUACCAAGGCAACGAUGGGUAGGGGUCCUGAGAGGGAGAUCCCCCCANACUGGUACUGAGACACGGACCAGACUCCUACGGGAGGCAGCAGUGAGGAAUAUUGGACAAUGGGCGCAAGCCUGAUCCAGCCAUGCCCGCGUGCAGGAUGACGGUCCUA